GAGGGUAUAGCUCAGUGGUAGAGCACUUGCUUAGCAUGCACGAGGUCCUGGGUUCAAUCUCCAGUACUUCCA
Molecule: transfer RNA, 72 nt
Filed under: Camelus bactrianus (Bactrian camel)
Lineage: Eukaryota; Metazoa; Chordata; Mammalia; Artiodactyla; Camelidae
Also listed under: 3 other names
Rfam family: tRNA
About the family: Transfer RNA (tRNA) molecules are approximately 80 nucleotides in length. Their secondary structure includes four short double-helical elements and three loops (D, anti-codon, and T loops).
Source: Rfam by way of RNAcentral